UUAAAAGAAAUAGAUUUGAUG
Molecule: non-coding RNA, 21 nt
Filed under: Caenorhabditis elegans
Lineage: Eukaryota; Metazoa; Nematoda; Chromadorea; Rhabditida; Rhabditidae
Source: RNAcentral